AGCGAACGCUGGCGGCAGGCCUAAAACAUGCAAGUCGAGCGCCGUAGCAAUACGGAGCGGCAGACGGGUGAGUAACACGUGGGAACGUACCCUUUGGUUCGGAACAACCCAGGGAAACUUGGGCUAAUACCGGAUAAGUCCGCAAGGAGAAAGAUUUAUCGCCGAAGGAUCGGCCCGCGUCUGAUUAGCUUGUUGGUGAGGUAACGGCUCACCAAGGCGACGAUCAGUAGCUGGUCUGAGAGGAUGAUCAGCCACACUGGGACUGAGACACGGCCCAGACUCCUACGGGAGGCAGCAGUUAGGAAUCUUGGACAAUGGGCGCAAGCCUGAUCCAGCCAUGCCGCGUGAGUGAUGAAGGCCUUAGGGUUGUAAAGCUCUUUCAGCGGGGAAGAUAAUGACGGUACCCGCAGAAGAAGCCCCGGCUAACUUCGUGCCAGCAGCCGCCGUAAGAC
This 452-nucleotide ribosomal RNA is filed under the name uncultured bacterium. RNAcentral describes it as "bacterial SSU rRNA". It matches the Rfam family "Bacterial small subunit ribosomal RNA", at positions 29 to 526 of the family's 1533-position model. The record is from RNAcentral.